GAUGAACGCUGGCGGCGUGCCUAAUACAUGCAAGUCGAGCGAACAGACGAGGAGCUUGCUCCUCUGACGUUAGCGGCGGACGGGUGAGUAACACGUGGAUAACCUACCUAUAAGACUGGGAUAACUUCGGGAAACCGGAGCUAAUACCAGAUAAUAUAUUGAACCGCAUGGUUCAAUAGUGAAAGACGGUUUUGCUGUCACUUAUAGAUGGAUCCGCGCCGCAUUAGCUAGUUGGUAAGGUAACGGCUUACCAAGGCAACGAUGCGUAGCCGACCUGAGAGGGUGAUCGGCCACACUGGAACUGAGACUCGGUCCAGACUCCUACGGGAGGCAGCAGUAGGGAAUCUUCCGCAAUGGGCGAAAGCCUGACGGAGCAACGCCGCGUGAGUGAUGAAGGUCUUCGGAUCGUAAAACUCUGUUAUUAGGGAAGAACAAAUGUGUAAGUAACUAUGCACGUCUUGACGGUACCUAAUCAGAAAGCCACGGCUAACUACGUG
Molecule: ribosomal RNA, 497 nt
Filed under: uncultured bacterium
Lineage: Bacteria
Description: partial 16S ribosomal RNA
Rfam family: Bacterial small subunit ribosomal RNA
Source: RNAcentral